This 492-nucleotide ribosomal RNA is filed under the name uncultured bacterium. RNAcentral describes it as "partial 16S ribosomal RNA". It matches the Rfam family "Bacterial small subunit ribosomal RNA", at positions 29 to 507 of the family's 1533-position model. The record is from RNAcentral.
AGUGAACGCUGGCGGUAGGCCUAACACAUGCAAGUCGAACGGCAGCACCGUAAGAGCUUGCUCUUACGGGUGGCGAGUGGAGGACGGGUGAGGAAUACAUCGGAAUCUGCUUUUUCGUGGGGGAUAACGUAGGGAAACUUACGCUAAUACCGCAUACGACCUACGGGUGAAAGCAGGGGGUCUUCGGACCUUGCGCGAUUGAAUGAGCCGAUGUCGGAUUAGCUAGUUGGCGGGGUAAAGGCCCACCAAGGCGACGAUCCGUAGCUGGUCUGAGAGGAUGAUCAGCCACACUGGAACUGAGACACGGUCCAGACUCCUACGGGAGGCAGCAGUGGGGAAUAUUGGACAAUGGGCGCAAGCCUGAUCCAGCCAUACCGCGUGGGUGAAGAAGGCUUUCGGGUUGUAAAGCCCUUUUGUUGGGAAAGAAAAGCAGCAGGUUAAUCCCCCGCUGUUCUGACGGUACCCAACGAAUAAGCACCGGCUAACUUCGUG